GCGCCCAUAGCUCAAUUGGUAGAGCAUCUGACUCUUAAUCAGGGGGUUGUAGGUUCGAUUCCUACUGGGCGCA
This 73-nucleotide transfer RNA is filed under the name bacterium. Its description in RNAcentral is "tRNA-Lys". It matches the Rfam family "tRNA". From Rfam's summary of the family: Transfer RNA (tRNA) molecules are approximately 80 nucleotides in length. Their secondary structure includes four short double-helical elements and three loops (D, anti-codon, and T loops). Further hydrogen bonds mediate the characteristic L-shaped molecular structure. tRNAs have two regions of fundamental functional importance: the anti-codon, which is responsible for specific mRNA codon recognition, and the 3' end, to which the tRNAs corresponding amino acid is attached (by aminoacyl-tRNA synthetases). tRNAs cope with the degeneracy of the genetic code in two manners: having more than one tRNA (with a specific anti-codon) for a particular amino acid; and 'wobble' base-pairing, i.e. permitting non-standard base-pairing at the 3rd anti-codon position. The record is from RNAcentral.